Molecule: ribosomal RNA, 468 nt
Filed under: uncultured bacterium
Lineage: Bacteria
Description: partial 16S ribosomal RNA
Rfam family: Bacterial small subunit ribosomal RNA
Source: RNAcentral
GACGAACGCCGGCGGCGUGCUUAACACAUGCAAGUCGAACGGAAAGGCCCUGCUUUUGUGGGGUGCUCGAGUGGCGAACGGGUGAGUAACACGUGAGUAACCUGCCCUUGACUUUGGGAUAACUUCAGGAAACUGGGGCUAAUACCGGAUAGGAGCUCCUGCUGCAUGGUGGGGGUUGGAAAGUUUCGGCGGUUGGGGAUGGACUCGCGGCUUAUCAGCUUGUUGGUGGGGUAGUGGCUUACCAAGGCUUUGACGGGUAGCCGGCCUGAGAGGGGGACCGGCCACAUUGGGACUGAGAUACGGCCCAGACUCCUACGGGAGGCAGCAGUGGGGAAUAUUGCACAAUGGGCGGAAGCCUGAUGCAGCAACGCCGCGUGCGGGAUGACGGCCUUCGGGUUGUAAACCGCUUUCGCCUGUGACGAAGCGUGAGUGACGGUAAUGGGUAAAGAAGCACCGGCUAACUACGUG